UUUAUGGAGAGUUUGAUCCUGGCUCAGGAUGAACGCUGGCGGCGUGCCUAAUACAUGCAAGUCGAGCGAACGGACGAGAAGCUUGCUUCUCUGAUGUUAGCGGCGGACGGGUGAGUAACACGUGGAUAACCUACCUAUAAGACUGGGAUAACUUCGGGAAACCGGAGCUAAUACCGGAUAAUAUUUUGAACCGCAUGGUUCAAAAGUGAAAGACGGUCUUGCUGUCACUUAUAGAUGGAUCCGCGCUGCAUUAGCUAGUUGGUAAGGUAACGGCUUACCAAGGCAACGAUGUAUAGCCGACCUGAGAGGGUGAUCGGCCACACUGGAACUGAGACACGGUCCAGACUCCUACGGGAGGCAGCAGUAGGGAAUCUUCCGCAAUGGGCGAAAGCCUGACGGAGCAACGCCGCGUGAGUGAUGAAGGUCUUCGGAUCGUAAAACUCUGUUAUUAGGGAAGAACAUAUGUG
This 467-nucleotide ribosomal RNA is filed under the name Staphylococcus aureus. Its description in RNAcentral is "bacterial SSU rRNA". It matches the Rfam family "Bacterial small subunit ribosomal RNA", at positions 1 to 457 of the family's 1533-position model. The record is from RNAcentral. Lineage: Bacteria; Bacillati; Bacillota; Bacilli; Caryophanales; Staphylococcaceae.